GAAAGAACAGAAGAAAGGGAGAUGAAGGAAGCCCAGGGGAAAGAAGAUGGGAGUACCGAGAGGCAAAGGGAAAUCUAACUGCGUAGAAGAAAGACAAAAGGAGAAAGAUAAAGACACAGGAAAACUGUAAAGGCCAUGGACACAGAUCCAAGGGCUUACCGCUGGUCUUCCUGACGCCUUCCCCGUCUCUGGAGUUUUAGUCAGCCAAUCGUUGAUGCGGCCGGCCACGCCCACCUUUAUCCCAGCUGCAUCCUGUACGGGGUGGAAGAGCACACACCCUUUAAGGUCAAAGUUCAGCAUUUGAGAUAACUGCUUUAUCCCGAGGACUCAGUGUUCCCAUGAGUCAGCUGAUAGUGAGAGAGAGAGCGAGCGGGUGAGCGAGUCUUACCUUCAGUGAUGAUCCUCUGGGGCUGACGCAUUUAAAAGGCUUUCUGGCCUCU
This is a long non-coding RNA of Misgurnus anguillicaudatus (oriental weatherfish), 440 nucleotides long. RefSeq lists it as uncharacterized. The record is from RefSeq and is a predicted model, not a curated record. NCBI's taxonomy places the organism in Eukaryota, Metazoa, Chordata, Actinopteri, Cypriniformes, Cobitidae.